GAUAAAGUGGCUGAAUUUUAGGUAAUAAAUUGUAAAUUUAUUUAUGGUUAUUUAACCCUUUAUCA
RNAcentral lists this transfer RNA (65 nucleotides) under Geotomus sp. FS-2019. RNAcentral describes it as "tRNA-Tyr". The record is from RNAcentral. Lineage: Eukaryota; Metazoa; Arthropoda; Insecta; Hemiptera; Cydnidae.